ACAUAUCUAAACCAAUAAAUGAAAAAGAACCUCGAAUAGGUAGGUUUUUUGUGAACCUUAGAAACAAGAAAGGCUUAGAAGAAACAAGAUCAGAUCUGGAGUCGAUAAUGUCGAAAUCAGGCUCAAGAUUGAGACACGUCGGAGCAAGGCCGGAGAUGGCUGAAAACCUCAAAUCGACGAAGGUCUGAGUGAAUACCGUUGAAGUUUGGCCUCAAACCUUCAGGUAUUAAGCAUGUGAGAGAAGUAGGAGGUGAGUAUAGGUCGUCCAUGGCUUGAGCGGCCAUGGAUUCGGUGGGUUUGGGGUUGAAAGCGGUAGAGAGCGAUUAGGGUUUCGAGAGAGUUCAAGAGCGUUUGAUAGAAUUGGGCGUUAGAGGC
RNAcentral lists this long non-coding RNA (375 nucleotides) under Nicotiana benthamiana. RNAcentral describes it as "long non-coding RNA (NBEN_LNC011467)". The record is from RNAcentral. Lineage: Eukaryota; Viridiplantae; Streptophyta; Magnoliopsida; Solanales; Solanaceae.